Non-coding RNA from Biomphalaria pfeifferi, 954 nucleotides. Lineage: Eukaryota; Metazoa; Mollusca; Gastropoda; Planorbidae. The record is from the annotation of a GenBank genome assembly.
GUCAGUAUUUUGGUCAUUUAUUUACAAUUUCAAUGUUUUGCAGAGAGUGAUUUACAUUGCACAAAGUAUCACAAAAGUUAAUUUCUAUUUUUAAAAAAAGAAUAAAAGCCCACUCUGCACUGAAAGUAAUAAAGAUUUAUAAUCCCAAAGCAUACCAUAAUAACAGUAGUAGUAAUGAAGUACUGAUAAUUGGGUGUAUAGUCAAAUUAAGUUCUACUAGGUACAGCAAUAGUGCACUCAAAUCCUGAUUUCUAAGACUUGAACUUGUUCAUGUCUCUUACCUCUAUAUAUAGGUGACUAAUAAAAUAAAUUGGAAUAAAGUUGAAAUUACCUCAAGAGGCAGCUAACAGUCACAGCCACAUGCAGUUUUACAUUACCGAUAGUCUAAACUAAGGGAAUGAAAUGAUGAGACUUUUUGAGAUGUGAGCUUAAAUUUGAGGAGUCAAUGAGAUAUAUGAGCACCAUUAGCUAUAUCCAAAGAUAAUAACUAACACUAGUAACUUAUAUCUUUUUCUACAAAUAAAGCCACAUUUAAAACAUUUAAGCAUUGUCAAAGUGACACUUUCAAAGCAAUUGACUCAACUUAAAAUACCUGUUUGACCAUGGCAUCAAAUUGUCUCCAAUCAAGAAUUGAAAGUGUAAGUUUAAACCAUAACUAGCAAAGACCUUAAAAAAAAAAACCCUAUAAAACUGCAUCCCCUAAAACUAUUUCAAUUGACAAAGUCUAUCUAGUAAAUGCCAGAGCCUAUGCUACUGAGUGACUUUGUUCAGUAUUUUGACUUGUUGCAUGCGUCCUCACUUCCACUACAGAUUCUUCAAACUCUAGCAGACAUUAAUCUCUCUUGCACACACAUUGCUGUCUAAGCCUUUAGACUCUACAAAAUCUGUUUUAAGUGUUGGACUAAAUUCACAGUAAUCCAGUCUUCAUGAAAUUUACCCCCCCCCCCCCUCCCC